UCUUAGUUCUGAAAGCCCCAAGAC
RNAcentral lists this non-coding RNA (24 nucleotides) under Rattus norvegicus (Norway rat). The record is from RNAcentral. Lineage: Eukaryota; Metazoa; Chordata; Mammalia; Rodentia; Muridae.